This 370-nucleotide ribosomal RNA is filed under the name uncultured organism. RNAcentral's name for it is "bacterial SSU rRNA". It matches the Rfam family "Bacterial small subunit ribosomal RNA", at positions 526 to 896 of the family's 1533-position model. The record is from RNAcentral.
CGUAGGGUGCGAGCGUUAAUCGGAAUUACUGGGCGUAAAGCGUGCGCAGGCGGUUUUGUAAGACAGAUGUGAAAUCCCCGGGCUCAACCUGGGACCUGUAUUUGUGACUGCAAGGCUAGAGUACGGUAGAGGGGGAUGGAAUUCCGCGUGUAGCAGUGAAAUGCGUAGAUAUGCGGAGGAACACCGAUGGCGAAGGCAAUCCCCUGGACCUGUACUGACGCUCAUGCACGAAAGCGUGGGGAGCAAACAGGAUUAGAUACCCUGGUAGUCCACGCCCUAAACGAUGUCAACUGGUUGUUGGGUCUUUACUGACUCAAUAACGAAGCUAACGCGUGAAGUUGACCGCCUGGGGAGUACGGCCGCAAGGUUG